RNAcentral lists this long non-coding RNA (4212 nucleotides) under Heterocephalus glaber (naked mole-rat). RNAcentral describes it as "lncRNA (ENSHGLG00000049609.1)". Lineage: Eukaryota; Metazoa; Chordata; Mammalia; Rodentia; Bathyergidae. The record is from RNAcentral.
ANNNNNNNNNNNNNNNNNNNNNNNNNNNNNNNNNNNNNNNNNNNNNNNNNNNNNNNNNNNNNNNNNNNNNNNNNNNNNNNNNNNNNNNNNNNNNNNNNNNNGCUUGUUAUUGUUAUACAGUGGGCAUUCUGCUGAGGACGUCCAUGGCUACGCUAUAUCUUCUCCCAGAGUUUGUGUUUUUAUGCCCAGAUGUAUGAUCCACUGGCGUUUGCUUUCAGCACAGGGUGAGAGAGAUGGGCAGAGUCGAUCUUGCGCACGUGGACCACCAGUUUUCCCAGCGCCCUUUUUCCAUGGCCUGUGUUUUCUCCAGCCUAGGUUAUUGGCUCCUUUGCCCAAGAUCCAGUGGCUGAAGGUUUUUGGGGUUGUUUCUGCACCCUCUAUUCUGUUCCCUGUGUCCAGCUGUCUGUGUGCGUGCAUUGGUACCAUUCUGUCUCUCAUGGUCUGCCCAGGGAGGGAAGUGAGGAAGUCUUCCCAUUCCUUAGGAGACAGUCUGAGUCUCCCGAGGAUGUUCCCCCCGGGUGUCCUGUUGUCUCACUGAGAGAGCCAUUCAUUCACUUCCAUUGGCUCCGGGGUUUGUACUGGGUCUUGAGGUGAGUUCAGGUCAUGACUGUUGUAUGUGUGCUAUGUGUGUUUGUGUUUGCAGGACCUGAAUACACCUGGAACCAAGAGGAAGUGGCGUGGGAGUCCGUUUCCGCCUGGUACCUGGAGGGCGGAGACAGUGCCACCAAUUACCUGGCACACAGUGUAGAUGAAAGUUAUUUGACCUUUUCCACAUGGUGCAACUUCUCAGCGUUCCCCGAGCCUGCCUGGAGUCCGGGCUUCCCAGAUGGCCUGUGAUUCUGCCUUGACAAUGAAGCAGAAGUGUUCAACAUUUACCUGCUAAGAAGCUUAUGAAGAUGGAGGUUCCACAAAGGAAUAUAAACAACAAUAACCAGAUGUGGAAUAACCAUGGCAAGCUUUUCCAUUCAAGCUUUUCCUGUAACCUCUUCUUUUAAGCUCAUUUAAUAAAGGCAAAGUCUGCAUUGAAAUCUGCUCCAGUACGUCUAGCAAACCUGAAGACUCCAUCCAGAGAGAACACUGGUGAACCUGCUCCUCAGUGGCACAGGACAUGACUGGGCUCCCCUGCUGGCUGGGAGGCUAACAAUGGUAGACCCAGUGCCCUUGGGCCAUUGCAAAAGCAGCUCUACCAUAAGCAAGAGCACUGGUUCUUGGGUAAGUUUUUCUGCUAUUUUUCCUCUUUUUACCCUGUCUAACUUCAAUAAGGACAGAGUCAUGACAUAAUGGCCUAGGGUUCAAUAGAAGUACAAUGUACUAUAGAAUAACUCUUUUCAAAUACCUGCACGUUUCUAUUUUGAAAAAGCUCACGAGGUAGCAUUAACAGCACAUGUAUUUUAAAUACUUCUGUCAGCUUCCUGCUGACCAAUAAUAUCACCAAGAACAACUAGAAAAGGUAGGUAGAACACUACUAAGGUGUGCUUUGUCUUUGUGGAACUAGGGAAUGAACCCCCUGGCCUUUGCAGUGAGCUACAUUCCCAGCCCUUUUAUUUAUUUACUUACCUAUUUAUCUGUCUAUUUAUUUAUUUAUUUUUUUUGGAGACAGAGUCUUCCUGAGUUGCCCAGGCUGGGCGCAAAUUUGCAAUUUUCUUGACACAGUUUCUCCAAGUGUUGAGAUCAUGAGCAUAUAACACCUUGCCUGCAUCUAAGUACCUAUUUUAAAGCACCAGAAACCUAGCAGGGCAUCCAUAGCUUGGGGACCAAAACCCCAGAGAAAAGAAAAACACAGUAAUCAGGAAGAAACCUUCACAUGGUUCUAACUCUUAUGGCAUUUGCCAAAUGAGCAACUCUGAGAAGCUGGACAUUUGUGAAAAAUGUCUACCAUAUGAGCAGAUCACAGGACAAAAAAAGUGGAUGUGGAAUCUAGCAGGGAGAAAGGACUCUACUUUUAGCUGGAACCUGAAAAGGACUAUGUGCUGGGAGCAGGGGAAGCAGGAAAUGGGCACCUUCCAGUUUCUGCAGCUCAGCUGGGCAGUGCUAAACCCAUGGGUAGGUUCAGGUGAUCAGUCUCCACCUGACUUGUUUACUGGAAAGAAAAGCACCAGUGAGACCCUUAAAUGUUUAGGGUUUUUCAUACCGAAUGUCUGACAAUCAAAAAUGAUCAAGCAUAACAGGAAAUAAGGUGGAAUGGCUGAAGGCCAAGAGAAAAACCAGAAAAUACAAACUGACCCACAGAAGAGCUAGAUUUUGGGGAGACCUUGGGCCCAGAGACUAAAUUAUCUGUGGUUAGUAAGUUCAAGAAAUUACAUGAUGUGAUGGAGCAUUCCAGUGAAAGAAUAGAAGCAUAUGUUUUAAAGAUCAGUUCCAGUGCUGAAAAUUUUAAUAACUGAAGCUAAGAACUCAAUAUAUGGACUGAAUAAUGCAUCAGACAGGCGAAAGGGCCAGCAUUCACCUCCGGGAAUGUGAAGGUGCUGUGCUGUGGUGUGCAGGGGUCUUCAGGGAUCCCGGUGAUGUUCCCUUCCUUGAAUCUGGCUCUGUGGCUGUGUUUUCUUUAUAAUUUGCCCUUCCAUUGGUGGACGUGUUAUUUAGGUUCUCUUAUGCAGGUGUGCUGACUGACAGUGCCUGCUCGUUCAAACACGUGACAGCUGGAUAGAGACGUGCUGAGUGAAGUUCCUGCCGACCUUGUUCCAAAUGGCGUAGGCUGUUACGUUGGAGAGGUUGGUGCUACCUUCCCGAGAUGGGGUCUAACAGCCCGCUACGGUCUUCUCAACACUCUUCAACGAGAAGCACCAUUGCUACAUGUGUGAGGUAACAUCAGAGCCUCACAUUUCAGAAGCGCCUCUUUUCAUCCUGCUCUUUUCUGGAUUUCACAAUACAUUCAUUUAGGGAAUUUUAGGCAUCAGGGGAAUGGAUCCAAAACCUGAGUCACCAUUUUUGUUCUGGCUGCAAGCUGCUAAUAAUUCUCCAAUCAGUAGGGACAGGGGAAGCUUCAGUUAAUCAUCAGGCUCUUCAGAUCCCUGCUGGAAGAAAUCAGGCUCUUGCUAGGAUUCUAGGACACAGGGAGAUGUCACCCAUGGAGAGUCAUACCUGCAGCUGUCUCUGCAGCCAGCAGAAAAAAUAGUUCUGAGUGGACCAAAGAAAGGGAGAGAGAGAGCCUGGAGAGAAGAAGGAAGCAAAUGCGGGGUAAAUGGUCCUCAAGACAAAGGAAGUCCUAGGAGCCUUUUGCUGACUCUUGUUCCUGGCUUCCUGAGUCUACCCCUUGGCUUCCCAGGGAAACAGCUAUCCACAGCCUUGCAACAAUCUCCAGCUUUCCACUGUGGUCUCUUCACUGCUGUCUCGACAACCCCACAAGGGCUCCUUCCCCACACUCAGCACCUCUACCUCUCAAACUGUAGCUGUCUAACAUUGAAAAGGUGAUGCUGGCUGGGGAUUUCGCUCAAUGGUGCCACCUCCUGCCUCAUAAGCGCAAGGUCCCAAGUUCGAUCCUAGGUACCAAAAAAAAAAAAGAACAGAAAAAGAGAAAAUGUGAUGCUGAAGGAUCAUUGUUGUAAAUUCUUCUAUUUUGAUGCUGUUUUGUAUCUAUUCUUACAUAGGUUGACUUUCUCAGGCUGGAAGCAAGACUCAGUUGGCAGUUUCCAGUUCUCACCUGGUCCUGGUUCUUCCACAUUACUGAUCCAGGUGUUUGCCUUCCACACUGCAUUGUGGUAGCCACUCGACCAGUAGGCACAACCUGCUGGACUCCUGCCACCACGUCAUGUGCUCACGGAUGGGGCAGGUGUUUGUAGUGGGCUCUCAGUCACAGCAUGACUCCAUAGCACUUGUGCCUGCUUGCUCUAAACCAAACAAUUAGACAGUUCACAGAGAUUAUUGUGUUUUCCUUACGCUGCUGCCCAUCAGCUUUUCAAAAAUUAUAUUUAGGAGGAUUUAAAAAGAGGGAGGAUUGUGAAGUGCUGUGUACAUGCACUAAGUCCCUGAGAGGAAUGUGAUCAUCAUGCAAUACAAACAUAUCUCUGUGUAUAUAUCUGUCUCCAGGAGAUGCAGAGAGGGAGAGGGAGGGGAGGAAGUGGGUACAAAAAAAAAGAAUUAAGAAAUGUCAUGUACACAUACUAACUCCCCACUACAAACAUGAGCGAAACUAGAUUAUGAACACAAUUUUUAAAACUGACACAUAUUCAAAGUCCACCUGAAAUUUUGCUAACUUUUUUUUUUUUUUUUUUU